This 1101-nucleotide long non-coding RNA is filed under the name Ornithorhynchus anatinus (platypus). RNAcentral's name for it is "lncRNA (ENSOANG00000047188.1)". Lineage: Eukaryota; Metazoa; Chordata; Mammalia; Monotremata; Ornithorhynchidae. The record is from RNAcentral.
AUGAGCCUGGGUGUCGGGGGGAGGGGCUCCCGCGGGGCGCUCCGGCCUAGGCUCCGGCCGAGGCCGCCCCCCCCCCGCCCGCGAGCGACGCGCUCGCUCCCGGAUCGUCUUCCCGCUGGGAGGACCCGGAAGGCGGGAGCGGGAGCGCCGGGUGACUCGGGCAGCCCGGCUUCCCCGUCCGUAAGUCGCCGGGUGACGAAGGACCAUCACGAUCCCCGCCUCGUCUCUCCCAGCGGCGGGCAGGCCGGCCUCGUGCCCGAGCGGGGAUCCGGGCCGAAGCCACCGGCAGCCCGCGGCCCGGAGGGGAUCCGGCCGGAGCCCGGGGAGGGGGACGGGAGCGGGGCGGGGGGCCGGGGGCGACGGCGGCGGCGGCGGGUGGGGGAGAGAAUCCCGUCUCCCCCGUUCGCAUCCGUAAGGCCCCGCCGGGGAUCACGAAAGGCCGCGCGACGUGACGAGAUUUUGUGGUCCAGCGUCAGGGGCUUGACGUUGGGAACGGCCACCCGGGUCAACCGAAAUCGCCUUCCCGGUCUUCCGGCGGCCGUUCCGCUUGAGGAAGCGGCCGUGGCCAGAUGUCACCGUGAGAGGGGCGAAGCCGGGAGGGAAGGAAAUGCCGAACGCUCGAGGGAAGGCCGCGCUCACCGGAGACCCUGGCUCGGCGCCCGCGACGAUAACAGCAGUGAAAGCAUCUUGUUCGGCGCUCGCCGCGGGCCCAGCUCCGUCCUAGCAAGAUGCGAGACAGCGGCGCCGAGGGCGCGGUCGGGCCUCGCGUUCAGUCGGUGUGGGCGGCCGGGCUUCGGACUCCCGGUUGGGUCCGCGUGUCGAACGCGCGGCCGUGGGUCGGGGCGGGAGGUGGGGUGGGGGACGGGGGAUGGGGGCGGGUCUGCCCGGUGGGCUGCGGCCGAGCGUCUCCGGGGGAUGACCUCGCACCUCCGGGAUGCGGGAGCGCGGGCUCGGGGGUCGGAGGACGUGCGCGCCGAUCCCGGCUCCGCCCCUCGUCCGCCGCGUGACCUAGGCCGAGUCACUUCACUUCUCCGUGCCUCGGUUCCCUCCUCUGGAAAAUGGGGACGAAGAUCGCGAGCCCCACGUGGGACAACCCGAUGA